UUCCUGGGACAUUUUCAGAUCUCCUUCCAGCUUCCUCUUCGCCCUUUCCAAGUCCGCCCGCAGUUUCUUCUCCUGCUCUAAGGAACCCUCAAGCUGAGAAGACACACAGAAGACCCAGAAGUCCAGCUUUGAAGAAAACCUGGAGAAAGAGAGAGUCACAAAUCAUCUCCAUACUGCAGGAGAUGCAGAAAUGGCGGAAGCUUGUUGACCUGGGACUCAGCAAUGUCAGCCCGUUCCUCGGCCUCCUCCAGCUCAUGCUGGAUCCUGCGGAAUUUGGAGAGGUUGACGUUGGAUUGUUCCUCCUGUGAAUGGAAAUCCAUUUAUGAGAGAAGAAAGUUCAGAAUUUUUCCAUUCUUAGGGCAGCACAAGCAGCAUUUGUCCUCUCAACAUCAAUCAUGAGGUCCUCAACUUCAUUCUGGAGCCUCUGCUUCGUCUUCUCAAGGGAAGCACAUUUGGCAUUCACAGCUUCUACAUGUUCCUCAGCAUCCUGCAGACGCUGAGCCAGCUUCUUCCUAAAAAGUGAAAUAUGGGCAAUAAAAGUGAAUGGCUGUCAACUGAAUUGGGUGUUUCAAAGUGGGUACAAGAGAGUGAAUUCCACAAUCAGACUUCUUUAAUACUUUGCUUCUCAAGCUUGCUUUGUAGGUCCAGUUCUAUAUUAACUCAUUCCCAUUAUCCUACCACCAAAUACCAAAAACAACCCCAGUUUUGGUAUUGCCAUACUUCAUAGAGUGGCUUUAAGGCCAUCCAUGACAAGCAUGAGCUAACACUUUACCCUUCCAGGUAGCUGGCUUAUUCCUCUUCCAUAGAAUAUUAAUAUCUACCUUGAAUUACUGGUUUGUUUUUC
Molecule: long non-coding RNA, 844 nt
Filed under: Pan troglodytes (chimpanzee)
Lineage: Eukaryota; Metazoa; Chordata; Mammalia; Primates; Hominidae
Description: long non-coding RNA NONPTRT007240
Source: RNAcentral